GGCCGGUUAGCUCAGUUGGUUAGAGCGUGGUGCUGAUAACACCAAGGUCGUGGGUUCAAUCCUUGUUCGGUCC
This 73-nucleotide transfer RNA is filed under the name Apaloderma vittatum (bar-tailed trogon). It matches the Rfam family "tRNA". Rfam says of the family: Transfer RNA (tRNA) molecules are approximately 80 nucleotides in length. Their secondary structure includes four short double-helical elements and three loops (D, anti-codon, and T loops). Further hydrogen bonds mediate the characteristic L-shaped molecular structure. tRNAs have two regions of fundamental functional importance: the anti-codon, which is responsible for specific mRNA codon recognition, and the 3' end, to which the tRNAs corresponding amino acid is attached (by aminoacyl-tRNA synthetases). tRNAs cope with the degeneracy of the genetic code in two manners: having more than one tRNA (with a specific anti-codon) for a particular amino acid; and 'wobble' base-pairing, i.e. permitting non-standard base-pairing at the 3rd anti-codon position. Lineage: Eukaryota; Metazoa; Chordata; Aves; Trogoniformes; Trogonidae. The record is from Rfam by way of RNAcentral.